GUAGGUGACAAGCGUUAUCCGGAAUUACUGGGCGUAAAGCGCACGCAGGCGGCUGCGUAAGUCUGACGUGAAAUCUCCCGGCUUAACCGGGGGCGGUCGUUGGAAACUAUGCGGCUUGAGGCGAUGAGAGGGGUGUGGAAUUCCCGGUGUAGUGGUGGAAUGCGUAGAUAUCGGGAGGAACAUCAGUGGCGAAAGCGGCACCCUGGCAUUAGCCUGACGCUCAGGUGCGAAAGCGUGUGGAGCGAACGGGAUUAGAUACCCCGGUAGUCCACGCCGUAAACGAUGAACACUAGGUGUGGGUGGUCUCAAAAUCAUCUGUGCCGAAGUAAACGCGAUAAGUGUUCCGCCUGGGGAGUACGGCCGCAAGGCUA
Molecule: ribosomal RNA, 371 nt
Filed under: uncultured bacterium
Lineage: Bacteria
Description: bacterial SSU rRNA
Rfam family: Bacterial small subunit ribosomal RNA
Source: RNAcentral